Molecule: ribosomal RNA, 490 nt
Filed under: uncultured bacterium
Lineage: Bacteria
Description: partial 16S ribosomal RNA
Rfam family: Bacterial small subunit ribosomal RNA
Source: RNAcentral
AUUGAACGCUGGCGGCAGGCCUAACACAUGCAAGUCGAAGGGCAACAGGAAACAGCUUGCUGUUUAGCGGACGCGUGUCGGACGGGUGAGAAAUGUCCGGGAAACUGCCUGAUGUCGGGGGAGAACUAGUGGAAACGGUAGCUAAUACAGCAUAACGUCGCAAGACCAAAGAGGGGGAACUUCGGGCCUCUUGCCAUCAGAUGUGCCCAGAUGGGAUUAGCUAGUAGGUGGGGUAACGGCUCACCUAGGCGACGAACCCUAGCUGGUCUGAGAGGAUGACCAGCCACACUGGAACUGAGACACGGUCCAGACUCCUACGGGAGGCAGCAGUGGGGAAUAUUGCACAAUGGGCGCAAGCCUGAUGCAGCCAUGCCGCGUGUAUGAAGAAGGCCUUCGGGUUGUAAAGUACUUUCAGCGGGGAGGAAGGGAGUAAAGUUAAUACCUUUGCUCAUUGACGUUACCCGCAGAAGAAGCACCGGCUAACUCCGUG